Molecule: ribosomal RNA, 253 nt
Filed under: uncultured bacterium
Lineage: Bacteria
Description: partial 16S ribosomal RNA
Rfam family: Bacterial small subunit ribosomal RNA
Source: RNAcentral
UACGUAGGGCGCAAGCGUUGUCCGGAAUGACUGGGCGUAAAGGGCGCGUAGGCGGACGGCUUUGUCGGGCGUGAAAUUCCAGGGCUUAACCUUGGGGCUGCGUUCGAGACGGGUUGUCUAGAGUUUGGAAGAGGGUCGUGGAAUUCCCAGUGUAGAGGUGAAAUUCGUAGAUAUUGGGAAGAACACCGGUGGCGAAGGCGGCGACCUGGUCCUUGACUGACGCUGAGGCGCGAAAGCGUGGGGAGCAAACAGG